Molecule: non-coding RNA, 64 nt
Organism: Potamilus streckersoni
Lineage: Eukaryota; Metazoa; Mollusca; Bivalvia; Unionida; Unionidae
Source: the annotation of a GenBank genome assembly
GUGGUCUAGUGGUUGGAGCGUCCGCCUCGGAUGCGGUAGGUCGUGGGUUCGAACCCGACAGUCA